RNAcentral lists this transfer RNA (67 nucleotides) under Hydroides elegans (calcareous tube worm). RNAcentral describes it as "tRNA-Ser". It matches the Rfam family "tRNA". From Rfam's summary of the family: Transfer RNA (tRNA) molecules are approximately 80 nucleotides in length. Their secondary structure includes four short double-helical elements and three loops (D, anti-codon, and T loops). Lineage: Eukaryota; Metazoa; Annelida; Polychaeta; Sabellida; Serpulidae. The record is from RNAcentral.
AAUUUGGUGGCUGGGCUUAUUUGUGGUUUGAACCCACUUAAAGAAGGUUCGAUUCCUUCCCAAAUUU